RNAcentral lists this long non-coding RNA (222 nucleotides) under Elaeis guineensis (African oil palm). RNAcentral describes it as "long non-coding RNA (EGUI_LNC010365)". Lineage: Eukaryota; Viridiplantae; Streptophyta; Magnoliopsida; Arecales; Arecaceae. The record is from RNAcentral.
CUGGAGUAUGUCUUUCUCCCCAUUUGAGCAUUGUUCCAAUCAACAAUAUCUUCUUCAAUUUCCCAACGACCACCUGUUCGAUAAAAUUUCAAGCCCAUAUCCGGCCAACAUUUUCUCCCAUUCUUUCAUUAGACGAUAAGAGUUGGUCCUACGUCCAUCUCAGAACUACGUGGGAUGGAAUGAAUACUUUAGUGUUAUGUAAGGAAAAUCCUAUGAUGAUGC